AGCGCUUGGGCAUAGCCAGUCGAAAGAUUGGAUAAUUCCCAAUGGUCUGCGCAUCUCAUUAAGGUAAAGUGUUUAAAAAGCAAAAAUUAAAUAUCAAAGACCAAAACCACAGAGUAAAAAUUUUCAAACGAUAGAUUUUAUAGUUUUUGAUUUGUGGUUUUGAAUUUUGGUUUUUGAAUUUUGGUUAAGCACUUUAAGCACUGAACUUUAGUGAGGUGCGCAGUAAAGGAUACAGCAAUGUAUUCGGCGCUUGAUUGGCCUAGAUCCGAUCAGCUAGUUGGUGAGGUAAUGGCUCACCAAGGCUAUGACCGGUAGGAGGGCUGAGAGGCUGUCCUCCAACGACGGCACUGAGACACGGGCCGUACACCUACGGGUGGCAGCAGUCGAGAAUAUUCCACAAUGGGCGAAAGCCUGAUGGAGCGACGCCGCGUGCGGGAAGAAGGUCUUCGGAUUGUAAACCGCUUUUAACUGGGGAAAAGUCCUGCUUUUAGUGGGAUUGAUGGUACCAGUUGAAUAAGGGGUUGCUAACUCUGUGCCAGCAGCAGCGGUAAUACAGAGACCCCAAGCGUUAUCCGGAUUUAUUGGGCGUAAAGAGCGGGUAGGAGGUCUGGCGCGUUUAUUGUUAAAUUCCAGAGCUUAACUUUGGAACCGCAAUGAAUACGGCUGGACUAGAGGGUGUUAGAGGCAGAUGGAACGCACGGUGUAGGGGUGAAAUCCGUUGAUAUCGUGCGGAACACCAAAGGCGAAGGCAUUCUGCUGGGACGUUCCUGACUCUGAGCCGCGAAAGCGUGGGUAGCAAAAAGGAUUAGAUACCCUUGUAGUCCACGCCCUAAACGAUGUCCGCUAGCUGUUUCGAGUGUCGACCCUCGGAGUGGCGAAGCUAACGCGUUAAGCGGACCGCCUGGGAAGUACGGCCGCAAGGCUAAAACUCAAAGGAAUAGACGGGGACUCGCACAAGCGGUGGAGCAUGAGGUUUAAUUCGACGGUAAACGAGGAACCUUACCAGGGCUUGAAAUCCUGACGAAGAUCGUCCGAAAGGAUGGUCGUCUCUCAAGGACGGCAGGACAGGUGCUGCAUGGUUGUCGUCAGCUCGUACUUUGAAGCGUUCCCUUAAGUGGGGUAACGAGCGCAACCCCUGUUCCGAGUUAUAAGUGUCUCGGAAGACUGCCCUCAUUAGGGGGAGGAAGGCGGGGAUGACGUCAAAUCCGCAUGGCCCUUUGAUGCCCUGGGCCACACUCAUGCUACAAUGGUCGGUACAAUGGGUUUGCCAAGCCGCAAGGCGGAGCUAAUCCCAUCAAAGCCGACCUCAGUUCGGAUUGAGGGCUGAAACUCGCCCUCAUGAAGCUGGAAUCGCUAGUAAUCGCGCAUCAGCCAUGGCGCGGUGAAUACGUUCUCGAGUCCUGUACUCACCGCCCGUCACUGCAAGGGAGCCGGGAGUGCCUGAAGUCUCGCUUAGGCGGGAUUAAGGUAAGUUCGGUGACAUGGCAGAAGUCGUAACAAGGCACGCGUAGCGGAAGCUGUGCGUG
This 1526-nucleotide ribosomal RNA is filed under the name subsurface metagenome. RNAcentral describes it as "bacterial SSU rRNA". It matches the Rfam family "Bacterial small subunit ribosomal RNA". The record is from RNAcentral.